RNAcentral lists this signal recognition particle RNA (273 nucleotides) under Candidatus Woesearchaeota archaeon. RNAcentral's name for it is "signal recognition particle sRNA". It matches the Rfam family "Archaeal signal recognition particle RNA". Lineage: Archaea; Nanobdellati; Candidatus Woesearchaeota. The record is from RNAcentral.
GGACAGGCUAGGCCGGGAGGUUAGCACUCUCCUGUCACCCCCAACGUGCUUCAGCGGGGGUCGAAGCUUGGAAGGCGAUUGCCUAAGGUGAGGGUAGUCUUGCUUUGGACAACGACGAUCUGUCCUGCUUGAUCGACCUUUGUGAGAACCACGUCAGGGCAGGAAUGCAGCAGCGUUCAUCACGAUGAUUGAUGUUUGCAGGGUUGCGGAUCCGAGGAAGAAGCGAGGGAACUUCCUUACUGUUAUGCACUCCACUUUCGAGCGCGCCUGUCC